This 1081-nucleotide small RNA is filed under the name Pan troglodytes (chimpanzee). Its description in RNAcentral is "retained intron". The record is from RNAcentral. Lineage: Eukaryota; Metazoa; Chordata; Mammalia; Primates; Hominidae.
CCGAGACAGCGCCGGGGCGGUGGGUACGAUGGAGAAUUUCACGGCACUGUUUGGGGCUCAGGCUGACCCACCACCGCCCCCAACCGCACUCGGCUUCGGACCAGGAAAGCCUCCACCCCCGCCACCGCCUCCUGCGGGCGGGGGACCCGGCACGGCCCCGCCUCCCGCCGCGGCCACGGCCCCUCCUGGCGCGGACAAGUCAGGAGCUGGCUGUGGCCCUUUUUACCUCAUGAGGGAACUGCCAGGUAGCACAGAGCUGACAGGCAGCACGAAUCUGAUCACACACUACAACUUGGAACAAGCCUAUAAUAAAUUCUGUGGGAAGAAGGUGAAGGAGAAGCUAAGUAACUUCCUGCCUGACCUGCCAGGGAUGAUUGAUCUGCCUGGUUCCCAUGAUAACAGCAGCCUCCGCUCUCUCAUUGAGAAGCCCCCUAUUCUCAGUAGCUCUUUUAAUCCUAUCACAGGGACCAUGCUGGCCGGCUUCCGCCUCCACACUGGCCCGUUGCCGGAGCAGUGUCGUCUGAUGCAUAUUCAGCCUCCCAAGAAGAAGAAUAAGCACAAGCACAAACAGAGCCGUACCCAGGAUCCUGUCCCCCCAGGUAAGAAGCAGUUCUAUUCAAAGCAAAAAAAAAAAAAACAAACCUGACCUUCUGAAUCUGGUUUGAACUUCCAUAGGUAAACCCAGUUAAGUUCCGUAUGGAGCUCUGGACUCCUAAAUUCCCCUGAAGAAGAAACCAAUGUACUGUGGUCUCUUGGGACUUGGGACAGGGACUCUAGCAGCACCUCUGUAUCCUUUCUGGCCAUUUGGACAAAAGCAGUUGCCCCGACUUGGGAUUUUCCUGUAGUCUUCAGUGGUUCAUAACAGUAGAGGAUUUUGAGCUUUACAGGUGAUAGGUACCUAAUGUCUCCUACAGAAACACCAUCUGAUUCAGAUCACAAGAAGAAGAAAAAGAAAAAAGAAGAGGAUCCUGAACGGAAAAGGAAGAAGAAAGAGAAGAAGAAAAAGAAGGUAGAGUAGAGGCCUAUUGCCACAACCCAGUGAGUUUCCCCAGAUCUCACCCCUGUCCUAAAUACCCUAGAG